UACGUAGGGGGCAAGCGUUGUCCGGAUUUAUUGGGCGUAAAGAGCUCGUAGGUGGUUCGGUAAGUCGGAUGUGAAAUCUCCAGGCUCAACCUGGAGGGGUCAUUCGAUACUGCCGUGACUAGAGGUCGGUAGGGGAGUGUGGAAUUCCUGGUGGAGCGGUGAAAUGCGCAGAUAUCAGGAGGAACACCGAUUGCGAAGGCAGCUCGCUGGGACGUUACUGACGCUGAGACGCGAAAGCGUGGGGAGCAAACAGG
Molecule: ribosomal RNA, 254 nt
Filed under: uncultured bacterium
Lineage: Bacteria
Description: partial 16S ribosomal RNA
Rfam family: Bacterial small subunit ribosomal RNA
Source: RNAcentral